CUACGUAUGGAAGGGAUAAGCGCUGAAGGCAUCUAAGCGCGAAGCCCCCCUCAAGAUAAGAUUUCCCAUACCGAGAAGGUAGUAAGACCCCUAGAAGAGAAAUAGGUAGAUAGGUCAGGAGUGUAAGUGCAGUAAUGCAUUGAGCUGACUGAUACUAAUCGGUCGAGGGCUUGACCAA
Molecule: non-coding RNA, 178 nt
Organism: Garciella nitratireducens DSM 15102
Lineage: Bacteria; Bacillati; Bacillota; Clostridia; Eubacteriales; Eubacteriaceae
Source: Rfam